GCCCACCAGCUAGCUCACCUAAGUAAAUACAACACCUCCACAUAAAUUAAACCCUAAAAUGACCCAACCUAAACAAACAAAUCAUUUUUCCCCCUAAGUACGGGCGACGGAAAAGAGACCCACGAAGCAAUAGAACGAGUACCGCAAGGGAAUGCUGAAAAAGAAAUGAAACAAACCAGUCAAGCCCAAAAAAGCAGAGACUAAACCUCGUACCUUUUGCAUCAUGAUUUAGCUAGUAACCCUCAAGCAAAGAGUACUUUAGUUUGAUUUCCCGAAACUACGCGAGCUACUCCAAGACAGCCUGUUUAUAGGGCAAACCCGUCUCUGUGGCAAAAGAGUGGGAAGAUCUUUGAGUAGUGGUGACAGACCUAUCGAGCCUAGUUAUAGCUGGUUGCCUAAAAACUGAAUAGGAGUUCAGCCUCUCGGCUUCUCUUCUCCCUCCACAUUAACCGACACUGAGAAAGCCCAGAGAGUUAUUCGAAGGGGGUUCAGCCCCUUUGAAACAAGACACAACUUUUCUAGAAGGUUAAAGACCACACCUCACCCUAAGGCAAAAUGUUCGAGUGGGCCUGAAAGCAGCCACCUCCCAGAAAGCGUUAAAGCUCAGACAUACGCCUCAACCUAAAAUCCUGGUUAACUAAUCUUAAACCCCUGACCCUUAUUAGGCCUUUCCAUGCCCCCAUGGAAGUGAUCCUGCUAGAAUGAGUAAUAAGAAAGGCUCUGCCUUUCUCCCCGCACAAGUGUACAUCGGAACGAACAAAGCUCCGAAUCUUAACGAACCCAAAUAAAGAGGGAACUGAAAGUCCCAAAAAGCAAGCAAGAAAAACAUUCAAUUUUUCCCGUUAACCCCACACUGGUGUGCACCCUCUGGAAAGACUAAAAGAGGAAGAAGGAACUCGGCAAACACAUAAAGCCUCGCCUGUUUACCAAAAACAUCGCCUCUUGUAAACAACAAAUAAGAGGUCCCGCCUGCCCAGUGACUAUAUGUUCAACGGCCGCGGUAUUUUGACCGUGCGAAGGUAGCGCAAUCACUUGUCUUUUAAAUGAAGACCUGUAUGAAUGGCACGACGAGGGCUUGACUGUCUCCUUCCUCCAGUCAAUGAAAUUGAUCUCCCCGUGCAGAAGCGGGGAUUUUUACAUAAGACGAGAAGACCCUAUGGAGCUUUAGACUUUUAAGGCAGACUAUGUUAAACACUCAAGAACAAAAGACCAAACGGUAUACACACUGCCCUUAAUGUCUUUGGUUGGGGCGACCCUGGGGAACUACUAAACCCCCAUGAAGACAGGGAGAACGCACUCCUACAAACAAGAGCCACAGCUCUAGCUUACAGAAUUUCUAACUUAUAUGAUCCGGCCAUGCCGAUCAACGGACCGAGUUACCCUAGGGAUAACAGCGCAAUCCUCUUUUAGAGUCCAUAUCGACAAGAGGGUUUACGACCUCGAUGUUGGAUCAGGACAUCCUAAUGGUGCAGCAGCUAUUAAGGGUUCGUUUGUUCAACGAUUAACAGUCCUACGUGAUCUGAGUUCAGACCGGAGUAAUCCAGGUCAGUUUCUAUCUAUGAAGUAUUCUUUUCUAGUACGAAAGGAUCGAAAAGGAGAGCCCCAUACUCGAAGCACGCCUCCCUCCCACUUACUGAAACCAACUUAAGUAGCCAACGGAGAACACCCCUAUAUCUGAAAAAAAUAGUGU
This 1690-nucleotide ribosomal RNA is filed under the name Gerres filamentosus (whipfin silverbiddy). RNAcentral describes it as "16S ribosomal RNA". The stretch from base 109 to 1577 matches the Rfam family "Bacterial large subunit ribosomal RNA". Lineage: Eukaryota; Metazoa; Chordata; Actinopteri; Gerreiformes; Gerreidae. The record is from RNAcentral.